Molecule: ribosomal RNA, 275 nt
Filed under: uncultured bacterium
Lineage: Bacteria
Description: partial 16S ribosomal RNA
Rfam family: Bacterial small subunit ribosomal RNA
Source: RNAcentral
GCGUGAGUGAUGAAGGCCUUAGGGUUGUAAAGCUCUUUUACCAGGGAUGAUAAUGACAGUACCUGGAGAAUAAGCUCCGGCUAACUCCGUGCCAGCAGCCGCGGUAAUACGGAGGGAGCUAGCGUUGUUCGGAAUUACUGGGCGUAAAGCGCACGUAGGCGGCUCUUUAAGUCAGGGGUGAAAUCCCGGGGCUCAACCCCGGAACUGCCCUUGAAACUGCAGAGCUAGAAUACUGGAGAGGUGAGUGGAAUUCCGAGUGUAGAGGUGAAAUUCGU